CAUUCUCUUUCUCCCAGUGGGGCCGCAGAUGACAACACCUGUGUGGGCAGAACUCCCUGCGGCGUCCAGGUAACCAUCCUCCUCUCUUCUCUCUCCCUCUCCCGCUCUCUCCGUCUCUCCCUCAAUCUCCAGCUUUCGUGCGACUCUACCCUGUUAUUACCGCAGCUCUCCCUCUCCAUCUUGGUGCGGCUCAUCUCCCAUUACCGCUGGUGAGAGCUCUCCCUCUCAUCUUCCGGAUGUCCACACACCGCCGCUUUACCGACCCCACUUUUUGGCCGCCACUGCAAAGCUACAUUCCAAUGCUACUCCUCUUCAUCUACUGAACAUGUGUCAUUUAUCAAAGAUGUAGCUGCAACUCAACAACCGGAGCAUUUGCCUCAUCGUUUGAAAAUGCUUCAGGUGAGAAGUAAGGUUGAGAAUCUUGUUGAAAGAAUGGUAAAAUGGUUGAAGGUUGGUGGAUUUAUAUUCUUCAGAGAAUCAUGUUUCCAUCAAUCUGGAGAUUGUAAGCGAAAGAACAACCUAACCCAUUACCGGGAGCCUAGAUAUUAUACAAAGGUUCUGGUGCUAGCCCAAAUGCAGCUGUUGCUGCUCAGUUUGUGAGAGCUGAAAUGCUUCCAAGUGGCUAUUUUAUUCGGGCAUGCAAAGGUGGAGGGUAAUUGUCGAUAAAGUUGAUAUGUUAGUUUGGAUCAGCUACCAAGCAAGUUGAUAUGUUAAAUCAUUAAAGAAGGCGAAAGGCUUCAAGUUUUGUGUCAUGUUAGACUUCGAAGAGGAUAUAGCUUUUGAGAAGACAUGCUUACUAAAUUCAAUUUGACUUGAAUAUGCCCUGUGAUGCACUAGAGUUACAUAUUUUCAUCUUUAUUUUAAAUGGAAUUUAAUUAUUGUUUGAUGAUUUAGUUAAGUUAUAAGAAAGGAAAUUUUUUAAUUAUUGUU
Molecule: non-coding RNA, 930 nt
Organism: Camellia sinensis
Lineage: Eukaryota; Viridiplantae; Streptophyta; Magnoliopsida; Ericales; Theaceae
Source: RefSeq, a predicted model, not a curated record